UCCCACGCAUGCCAGGUGAGCACGUUACCGCUUGAGCCACAUCCCCAGCCCUCCACUAUUCUCAUUUUUAAGGGAUCUUUUCUUGAAAAAGUUCUGGAAUUGCUGCCAGCCUAGGAUGCCCCCCCAAAGUCUUUUAUUUGUGAGUGGGUUGGGCAUCAUGGGGCUGUGUCUGCACUUCCUAUGGAGUCCUUCUUUCUUAGGCAACUGUCCUCCUUUCCUUUUGGGAGGUGGACUGUUGCUCAGUGUGAGAACUUGAAUAUUCAUGUGUGCUGUGUAGAUUAUCACUAGAAGAAGGAUGGAGUCUUCCUGCCAUAGAAAUUACUGAAUCACAAAGGACUAAACAGCUUAGAAACUGUGAAGACUCCUAAGAGAAUAGAAAGGGUUGGCCUCGCUUUUAAUCAGGUUUCAAUGCAGAGACAGGUGUCCUGUCAAUUCCCUUAUUCAGAGACACAUUUGUUGUGGCAUUAACAAACAAAGUCAGCAUUCCCCAGAGGCCAACAAAAGCCUGAUCCAAUGUGAGUUUGUGCCUUUCUGUAAAGAUUUGCGGUGGGAUUCCAGGCACUUUAGAUAAUGGCCUUCCACUGGCUGCAGAUACCAUGGCUAUUCCAGGGGGCCAGAUCCAGUGGUUAUGUUGUUUAUCACUUUUUAUGCAAAUUCACUAACAUUCUCAAACAAAGGCAAGUCCUCUUGUCAUUCCUGGCCAGUAGCACAGCUGAACAAGGGCUUGGGAAGAGGAAAGCACAUCUCUGAACUUGCCUCUGAUUUGAAAUUUUCUUGCUGACUUUCCUGAGAUUUUUGAGACAACCACAUACUUUCUCAAAGUCAUCUAGCAAAAUCUUGUUAGCUUAGAUCCUAGAUUUUACACCCAAGAUUUGAUAUAUAGGAAAAAUGGCUGCUGUUUCUUUUGAGAAAUGGUAAUUUAUAUAGCUCUGAAUAGCAACAUUCAUUCUUCAUAGACUACUUAGUAUCUGGGAGGAAGUUUACACACAUCAUCUUCAACCUUAGGAAAAUCUUGGGCCUAGAUAUUAACCCAUGUUGAUUGGGCCACUGAGGCUAAGGGAAUUGGUAAUUGGCUCAUUUUCCUGUUGCUUCCUAGGAAGUGCCUAGACCCCAAAUUUCUUACCCCCACUUUCCUGCAAAACAUACUUUUUAUUUGGUUCCAUUAUGGUGAAUUAAAACAUCAUGGGCUUUGAGCCAGACAAGCAUGAUUCAACUCUCAUUUCCAUUAAUCACUAGAUGAGUGUCUGGGCAAGUCAUGUAACCUCCCUGAACCUCCGUUUCCUCAGCUGUUAUCAUGAUAAUGAUGCUCUGAGAAGUGUUUUGGGAAUGGAAUGAGCUGAACACUUCAAAGUCCCCAGUUAGGUACUGGCAUACUGUAUAGCAGUCAGAAUCUCAACAAAUGAUACUUCCCCUUUCUUCCUCAUUCUUCUUUGUACUUGCUGUGGCAUCUGGCACAGAGUAGGCACUCAAGAAAUAUCCAUGAAAUAAAUUCAAAGGAUUCUCCAUGGCCUUGUUUCAGAAGGACAGCCUGAAGUUGGACCCUCUUCAAAACCUCCCUGGAAGAACAAAAGUUUUGAAGCAUGUCAAAGCUACUCAUGGUUACAAUCUUUAGGAUGAAGCAGAGAGACAAGAAUAAUGCUAAAAAUUAACAAUAGCACUAAAAUUCUGAAGUAAGAUUCACUAGGUGGAGUGCUGUUGCUCUUCAAGAAGCAGCAGUAGUUGAGGAUUGUCAAGUAUCCUAAAGCACAAGAGAUAACAAAUGUGACAAGAACACCUCCUACGUUUGGUGGAUUGUUCAACAAUGACUGGAUUGGUUAGAGACAGUGCACUUUUUGGACUUUCCCUUGAACUCACACAUGAGUCUGUGCACAUUAGAGGACAAUUACAACAAUGGUCAUCCCACCACAUCCAGAAUUGCCCCUGCUUAUCCUUGAAAGAUGUUGAACAUAUCCAGGGAGGUGCAGUGUAAUCAUACUAUCCUUGAAAAGCAGAAGACGACAGACCGAAGAACAAGAGAAUACAACAGAAAGAUAGGUCAGAAAGAUUGGAAGAAUGAGAAGGAUUUGAUACAUGGUUGUUGACUUGAAGAUUAAAGGGUCACAUGCUAAGAGUGAGUUUGGAAGAGAAACCCCAAGAUUCAGAUGAGACUAUACACAUGUCAAUUCCUUGAUUUAAGCCUAAUAAAAACUUACACAGAUUGUUUAACAACAUUAUGCCACAAUCUGACCUAUAGUAACUGUGAAAUAAUAAAUAAAUAUUGUUUGAAGCUGCUAA
Non-coding RNA from Ictidomys tridecemlineatus (thirteen-lined ground squirrel), 2274 nucleotides. Lineage: Eukaryota; Metazoa; Chordata; Mammalia; Rodentia; Sciuridae. The record is from RefSeq and is a predicted model, not a curated record.